This 171-nucleotide ribosomal RNA is filed under the name uncultured bacterium. RNAcentral's name for it is "partial 16S ribosomal RNA". It matches the Rfam family "Bacterial small subunit ribosomal RNA", at positions 1328 to 1500 of the family's 1533-position model. The record is from RNAcentral.
GGAAUUGCUAGUAAUGGCAGGUCAGCAUACUGCCGUGAAUACGUUCCCGGGCCUUGUACACACCGCCCGUCACACCAUGAGAGUUGGGAAUACCCGAAGCCUGUGAGCUAACGAAAGAGGCAGCAGUCGAAGGUAGAAUCAAUGAUUGGGGUGAAGUCGUAACAAGGUACC